Molecule: transfer RNA, 77 nt
Filed under: Mollicutes bacterium
Lineage: Bacteria; Bacillati; Mycoplasmatota; Mollicutes
Description: tRNA-Glu
Rfam family: tRNA
About the family: Transfer RNA (tRNA) molecules are approximately 80 nucleotides in length. Their secondary structure includes four short double-helical elements and three loops (D, anti-codon, and T loops).
Source: RNAcentral
GGCCCAUUGGUGAAGCGGUCUAACACAUAGCCCUCUCAAGGCUACAUUCAUGGGUUCAAACCCCAUAUGGGUCACCA